GGUUUGACGGUACCUUUAAAGGAAGCACCGGCUAACUCCGUGCCAGCAGCCGCGGUAAUACGGGGGGUGCAAGCGUUGUUCGGAAUUAUUGGGCGUAAGGCGCGUGUAGGCGGUCUGAUUAGUCUGAUGUGAAAGCCCUGGGCUCAACCCAGGAAGUGCAUUGGAUACUGUCAGACUUGAAUACGGGAGAGGGUAGUGGAAUUCCUAGUGUAGGAGUGAAAUCCGUAGAUAUUAGGAGGAACACCGGUGGCGAAGGCGGCUACCUGGACCGAUAUUGACGCUGAGACGCGAAAGCGUGGGUAGCAAACAGGAUUAGAUACCCUGGUAGUCCACGCCGUAAACGAUGAGUACUAGGUGUCGCGGGUA
Molecule: ribosomal RNA, 366 nt
Filed under: uncultured Geobacteraceae bacterium
Lineage: Bacteria; Pseudomonadati; Thermodesulfobacteriota; Desulfuromonadia; Geobacterales; Geobacteraceae
Description: bacterial SSU rRNA
Rfam family: Bacterial small subunit ribosomal RNA
Source: RNAcentral